Molecule: ribosomal RNA, 492 nt
Filed under: uncultured bacterium
Lineage: Bacteria
Description: partial 16S ribosomal RNA
Rfam family: Bacterial small subunit ribosomal RNA
Source: RNAcentral
AGUGAACGCUGGCGGUAGGCCUAACACAUGCAAGUCGAACGGCAGCACAGUAAGAGCUUGCUCUUACGGGUGGCGAGUGGCGGACGGGUGAGGAAUACAUCGGAAUCUACUUUUUCGUGGGGGAUAACGUAGGGAAACUUACGCUAAUACCGCAUACGACCUACGGGUGAAAGCAGGGGAUCUUCGGACCUUGCGCGAUUGAAUGAGCCGAUGUCGGAUUAGCUAGUUGGCGGGGUAAAGGCCCACCAAGGCGACGAUCCGUGGCUGGUCUGAGAGGAUGAUCAGCCACACUGGAACUGAGACACGGUCCAGACUCCUACGGGAGGCAGCAGUGGGGAAUAUUGGACAAUGGGCGCAAGCCUGAUCCUGCCAUACCGCGUGGGUGAAGAAGGCCUUCGGGUUGUAAAGCCCUUUUGUUGGGAAAGAAAAGCAGCAGGUUAAUACCCCGCUGUUCUGACGGUACCCAAAGAAUAAGCACCGGCUAACUUCGUG